CCGGACUUGGGCGGUCACACAGCGAUUCUGCACGGCUGUCCGAACUUGGACUGGGUGGGGGCUAAGGGGAGCCACCAGCUACACCAAAGGGUCUGUGCGUCAUCCUGGAAAAUGAAGAUAACACGCUGGAUUAAAAACAGCGGCAGAGACAUGCCAGGUGAGCUGGGACAGGUGGAUUUUACCUUCCACCCCCAUCCACACCCAAGAACCCCAUUAUAUCCUGCAUUCAGCUCAGCGUGUACCAACAAGAAUCCUGCAUUCCCAGCACAUCACAAGCUACUCAAGGCAACAUUUUACCACAAAGAUUCCCCAAUCUGCAACAAACUGGUAAAAUAAAGUGAUUUUCCAGCACACAUGAACCACAACAUGGCUGUUUUGAAAGGAAAUGUGAUCACACUGUUCCCCAUGGUGGCUAUCAGGGAUCAAUGGCUACAGCCACUCCUGUUGGACCAGAUCGAGCUCUGGAGCCUGACUUAAAGAGAAGGAGCUGCUGGGAGAGCCUGGAGUUACCUCAUCCCUGCAAAAACUUCAUCAGAACCUUUUAAAGCCCAAUGAAUCGGUCCUACAUUGUUUCUGAAGCAAGACAGAAGGCACAGGCUCAGCACAUCCAGGUUUCUGCAGCUAUUUUCCUUCUGUUAAAGCACACCAGGGCAUCCAUUUGGAUAAAGCCAGUUGCUCUCAUCUUAAAGAUCUGGGAUGUUGGAAAUACAAAUGGCAGGAGGGUUGGAAAUGUCCUGAGGUCAGCACUGUGACAGAGAAAGGAAACUUGGAACAGAUGCACAACAGGUGAAUGAACGGAUUCAGCUUUACUUUCACUUCUGGUAAACUAGCAGCUACAGCCUUUUGCUUUGCCAAUUUUUAUGAAAUUCACUUGAAGUUGGUUGCAUUGAAGAGAGAGAAGAGUCCUCAUCUGGGAUUCAGAGGAAAUGCAGCACUGUCAUUGUAAUGCUGCAUUUUGGCCAGCUCUGGGGAUCUGAAGGCAGAAGAGAGACUAUCGAAAAAACUGGAUCUUGAGCACAUUUAGUGUUAAAAAAAUUUCACCGUAGAAUCCUGGUGUGACCUGUUUGUGCAUAACACUGUGAGAAGGACCACACUUUCCUAGGUAAGAAGAUAAACAUGUGGGUACAGAUUUGCCACCCUAAUUGUGUCCUUAACCUGAGAAGGAUAAUUUAAAUGCUAAAGAAUAUGACUUGGAAUAAAACUAGAAGGCGAAGUUUGGCACUUUAAUAUAAAGCCUAUGGGUAUCCAGAGGAAGGCAUUCAAACUCAACUCCAGAUUGUCCUAAUUUUAUUUGACUUGGUUAAUCAAUUUUAAAGCAUUUUUUACAAUUUACAUAAUUUAAAGGAGCACACUGCAUCCUAUAAAUAUAAAUUAACAUUUUUAAUAACUCAAGACAUCACAACAAAGCCAAAUUUUGAAAUAAAUUUCACGUUUAGUUAUCUGGAUCAAGAAGUAACAUACAUGGGGAGGGAAAAAACAGCAUUAACAAGAAAACACUGUUUAGUUCUAAACUAAGUUUGUGCUUCUACAUCAAAAACACAACACUGAAGUGACAGGAACUCUGCAAAGAACUUGAAAAGGUAUAUAACUGCUUAGUCCCAAAACCAAAGUACAUGUUUAUUUUUUCUUCUACAUGUUAUUUUUUUCAGUUCUAUCAAAUUAGCAUUAAUGGUAGAGGGACAGAAGUACAAUAUACUAACUUUACUGCAAAUACAAAUUCUGUUGUAGCAGUUUGUUAGCUUGUUUUGGCUUAAACUGAAAUGCUUCUCCUGCAUGAAAAACAAGAGCAUAUCUCUUCAAUGUAUUUAAUAAUCAACACAUUUGUUAGUACAAAGCAGAUGGUGUUCAGCAGGAAGGCAUUAUGUGAUCAUUUGAAAACACCAUGCUUUUUUUUUUUUUUUGCCUUUUUUUUUUAAAAAAAAAAACAAAAAAACAAAAAACACUAAGCCACCCUGAAGUUUUGUGAAGGCCAGAUGUUCAAAGCUGGUGCACAGAUGAAAACUGCACAUCCAUGAUCUCUGCAUGGAACUAUCCAGAACCUGGCAGGUGUUAUCAUACACCAUUAGUUAUCUGCAUGCUUUCUCACAUCAAAACCAAAUCAUGUUUCACUAAACUUUGAAAAUCUGGUCUUAGCUAAAAAUAAACACUUUACUUCACUCCAUUAAUUUAACAAAGGGUAUUAAUCCAUCUUCUGAUUUUUGGUUGAGGACUAAAAAUAAGAGCGGGAUAUCAUAAUCCUAAUAAUUGUGUCCAAAUCUUCAAAACAAUUACUAUUUGUUUUCAAAACAGCAAAAAAAAAUCUCAUAAUUCUCAAAGCAUUUUUGUAAUUAUUAAAUGUUAAAUAAAUAAAUUUAUCAAAUGUAUAUUUAUAUUUACUACAGAUUAUGUUUUGAAGCAAAUCUCAGAACAACUUCAGAAAGCUUUUUUAAAAUAGAGUUGCUUUAGGGCUAGACCUAAAAUAAUUACAUAUUAGGGCAAAAGAUGGAGUUAGAGAGUCAGCCUUUGAAUGCUUCUUAAAAAUAGGUGCUUCGAAUACAGGUUUAGAAAUGAAAUUUAAAAACCAUGUUUUCAGUCACACUGAAGAAAACAUCUGCAAAGAAAAAAGGCCCUCAUCCUUAAGACUGAAGAAAAAGAUGGUAAGGAGAAAAAAAAAAAAAAAAAAAAAAGCACCGUUUUCCCAAGUUGCCCAAAUCACACACAGACACAGGAAGGUUACAAAUGCCAUUCAUGAAAGAAUGCACCACAAACAUCAGCAUUUAUUCAUUUUGAAUUUUUUUUUUUUUUAGCAAAUGACAAAAGACUCAGCUCACUGGCUUCACUUUUGUUUACCUUUUGCUUACAUUACACAUUUAAACAUUUGUCAAAACUUACUAAAGUUGUCUGCAUUCAUGCACAACUAGAAAACAUCCUUAAUUUAUUUAAACCAGAAAUGCAUUACCAGAAAUGUAUUAACAUUGUUCACUACUAAACAUUAAAAAAAAAAAAAAAAAAA
Parus major (Great Tit) is the source of this 2992-nucleotide long non-coding RNA. RefSeq lists it as uncharacterized. The record is from RefSeq and is a predicted model, not a curated record. Lineage: Eukaryota; Metazoa; Chordata; Aves; Passeriformes; Paridae. The transcript is spliced from 5 exons.